Long non-coding RNA from Zophobas morio, 463 nucleotides. RefSeq lists it as uncharacterized. The transcript has 3 exons. Lineage: Eukaryota; Metazoa; Arthropoda; Insecta; Coleoptera; Tenebrionidae. The record is from RefSeq and is a predicted model, not a curated record.
GUUGCGGCGCGUCUUUAAUUUGCAUUAGAGGACCACAUAAGUCGGCAACCUUACGAUAGGUGCGUUUGUACGAAACAGAGAGGAUUUAUUCGGCAACAUUUCGGAAACGGGAGACCUGUUUUUUCGUACUCUAGAAGUCAUGACACGUUGAGAAAAUAUGAAAGGUAUUCGUCGAAUGGAUUGGCUUACUAUACGUCCUUGGUUUACGUUUGGUAUUUCAGCGCCGUAUAACCAGGCAACCAAACAUACGUCUGGUACGCGUCAUCAGAACGCGCGACUACGCGCGAGCGGCGAAUAGCUGAAGACAAGGACAACAAGAUGAAGGGACCGAAAUUCUCGCUCUUCCAUUCGCGCUCUCGAAGAAACGAGAAUGCUAUCAUAGGUCAAUCCCUCCAUUAACUUUUUUAAGUCUCUGUUAUUUAUUGUUAAUGUAAAAAUAUAGUAAUAAAAUACUACAACAUUA